GUCAGAUUUUGUGCAUCUCACUUUAACUAUUCCAGAAGCAAGGAGUCUGACCUUGAGAAGACAAGAUGCAGAGAAGCCAGAGAAGGAGAUUGCGGUUGAUUCCAGGUACUGAGGAAAAGACCUUUCCAGAGAGCGAGAUACCUGCAUGAUCACCUCUUCAUUGCCAGUGGGAAUCCUCAGAAAAAUUGCAAAGCAGGUUCUUUUGGCUUUCUGGAUACCUCUGUAGUGAGGAGCCAGCUUCCUCCCUACCUCUUCUCACUUCUGCCGGUUCGUGAUCUUGCUGUUUUAAUGAGGGCACAGUAAUAACUAUGGAGAGGUGCUGACGACAUGACCAAGGAACUUGCCCUUAACAAGUCAGCUGUGGAUGAGGUGCCAAUGGGAUGGACAAGAGGAUUAAAGUAUUUAUGCCAAAAUAUUGGAAGCACACACAGAAUUAGUUCUUCCCGUGUUAGAUAUUUCACUUUUGGCAAGUCUGUAUUUAAAAAUCUUUUCUCCUUGUUUUGCUUAAAGUAUUACAAUAAGCCCUGGAUUUUUCACAGUUACACUCGUAUAUUUUCACAGCUGUUUUAAU
Molecule: long non-coding RNA, 571 nt
Organism: Phyllostomus hastatus (greater spear-nosed bat)
Lineage: Eukaryota; Metazoa; Chordata; Mammalia; Chiroptera; Phyllostomidae
Exons: 4
Source: RefSeq, a predicted model, not a curated record